Molecule: ribosomal RNA, 484 nt
Filed under: uncultured bacterium
Lineage: Bacteria
Description: partial 16S ribosomal RNA
Rfam family: Bacterial small subunit ribosomal RNA
Source: RNAcentral
AGUGAACGCUGGCGGCAGGCCUAACACAUGCAAGUCGAGCGGCAGCGGGUCCUUCGGGAUGCCGGCGAGCGGCGGACGGGUGAGGAAUACAUCGGAAUCUGCCCUGUCGUGGGGGAUAACCUAGGGAAACUUAGGCUAAUACCGCAUACGACCUACGGGUGAAAGCGGGGGAUCGCAAGACCUCGCGCGACAGGAUGGGCCGAUGUCCGAUUAGCUAGUUGGCGGGGUAAAGGCCCACCAAGGCGACGAUCGGUAGCUGGUCUGAGAGGAUGAUCAGCCACACUGGGACUGAGACACGGCCCAGACUCCUACGGGAGGCAGCAGUGGGGAAUAUUGGACAAUGGGCGCAAGCCUGAUCCAGCCAUGCCGCGUGGGUGAAGAAGGCCUUCGGGUUGUAAAGCCCUUUUGUCCGGGAAGAAAUCGUCUGGGCUAAUACCCCGGGCGGAUGACGGUACCGGAAGAAUAAGCACCGGCUAACUUCGUG